AAAAGUUGUCACAUGCCCCAUAUAAGGGAUCAUGCCUGAGAAGUUAUUGUCGGACAAAUUCAAGUAACCUAAAAAUGAUAAUGUAGACAUGCUGGAAGGAAUUGCACCUGAGAGCCUAUUGUGCGAAAGAUCAAGAGAAGAAAUUUGCCGCACGUUUGAAAUGCUUCCAGGAAUCUGACCGAUGACUUGGUUCUUUGACAAGUUCAAAGCCACUAAGCCCACCAAUUUUGUGAUUUCUUUAGGAAACUCUCCAUGUAAGUUGUUGCUGGCAAGGUCUAUACUAGUGACCAAGGAAAGAGUUUUUGUAUACUUCUGAGCCCCACCUUUUAUAUUCACAAUCAAGCUUUCUUCAUAGUAAACGCCUCUAUAUUUCCCAUAUGGUAGAUAUUCAUUUAUGUACUGUUCUAGAGACAUGGCUUUAAAAUCUCCAA
RNAcentral lists this unclassified non-coding RNA (431 nucleotides) under Hevea brasiliensis (rubber tree). Lineage: Eukaryota; Viridiplantae; Streptophyta; Magnoliopsida; Malpighiales; Euphorbiaceae. The record is from RNAcentral.